CAAUAAGCAAAACAAGGGCGUAUGGGGGAUGCCUAGGCUCUCAGAGGCGAAGAAGGACGUGAUAAGCUGCGAAAAGCUGCGGGGACUGGCACAUACAGGUCGAUCCGCAGGUAUCCGAAUGGGGCAACCCACCGUACUGAAGGUACGGUACCCGAAAGGGGGCGAACCCGGGGAACUGAAACAUCUAAGUACCCGGAGGAAGAGAAAACAACAGUGAUUCCGACAGUAGCGGCGAGCGAACUCGGAUUAGCCCAAACCGGUGCCGUUACGGCGGCACCGGGGUUGUAGGACCGCGAGGUUCGAUGCGCAAUGAACUAGAACACGUUGGAAAGCGUGGCCAUAGACGGUGAUAGCCCGGUACAGGCAAGGAGCGUUAUCGAUAGCGGUAUCCUGAGUAGUGCGGGGCACGUGAAACCCUGUAUGAAUCCGGCGGGACCAUCCGCCAAGGCUAAAUACUCCUGAGAGACCGAUAGUGGACCAGUACCGUGAGGGAAAGGUGAAAAGAACCGUGAACAACGGAGUGAAACAGAACCUGAAACCAUACGCCUACAAGCGGUCGGAGCCAGCUUGCUGGUGACGGCGUGCCUUUUGCAUAAUGAGCCUACGAGUUACUGUUGCCAGCGAGGUUAAGGCAUUGAGUGCCGGAGCCGCAGCGAAAGCGAGCCUGAACAGGGCGCAUUAGUUGGUAGCAGUAGACGCGAAACCGUGUGAUCUACCCUUGGGCAGGCUGAAGUUUGGGUAACACCAAAUGGAGGGCCGAACCCGUUGACGUUGAAAAGUCUUGGGAUGACCUGAGGGUAGGGGUGAAAGGCCAAUCAAACUCGGAAAUAGCUCGUACUCCCCGAAAUGCAUUUAGGUGCAGCGUCGGCAUAUAGUUUUAUAGAGGUAGAGCUACUGAUUGGAUGCGGGGGCUUCACCGCCUACCAAUUCCUGACAAACUCCGAAUGCUAUAAAAUGUUGGGCGGCAGUGAGGGCAUGGGUGCUAAGGUCCAUGUCCGAGAGGGAAAGAACCCAGACCAUCAGCUAAGGUCCCCAAAUGUAUGUUAAGUUGAAAAAACGAGGUUGGACUGCACAGACAGCUAGGAUGUUGGCUUGGAAGCAGCCAUUCAUUUAAAGAGUGCGUAACAGCUCACUAGUCGAGCGGUCCGGCAUGGAUAAUAAUCGGGCAUAAACAUACUACCGAAGCUAUGGACUUGUAAUUUAUUAUAAGUGGUAGGGGAGCAUUCUGUUUGCGCCGAAGGUGUACCGCGAGGUAUGCUGGAGCGGACAGAAAAGAAAAUGUAGGCAUAAGUAACGAUAAUGCGGGCGAGAAACCCGCACUCCGAAAGACCAAGGUUUCCCCAGCUAUGCUAAUCAGCUGGGGGUCAGUCGGGGCCUAACGCGAACCCGAAAGGGGUAGUGGAUGGACAACGGGUCAAUAUUCCUGUACCUGCCCGCGCUAAAAGUGACGGAGGCGUAAAUUUGGUGCGAACUGACGGAAUAGUUCGUUGAAGCCAGUGGCAACACGGCGAUAGUACACUGAGGCUCCGGCCAAGGUGAUAAUCCAGAGUAGCGACUUCCAAGAAA
Molecule: ribosomal RNA, 1566 nt
Filed under: Candidatus Kaiserbacteria bacterium
Lineage: Bacteria; Candidatus Kaiseribacteriota
Description: partial 23S ribosomal RNA
Rfam family: Bacterial large subunit ribosomal RNA
Source: RNAcentral